GAUGAACGCUGGCGGCGUGCCUAAUACAUGCGAGUCGAGCGAACAGACGAUGAUCUUGCUCCUCGGACGUUAGCCGCGGGCGGGUGAGUAACACGUGUAUAACCUACCUAUAAUAGUGGGAUAACUUCGGGAAAGCGGAUCUAAUCCCGGAGAAUAUAUUGAACCGCGUGGUGCAAUGGUGAAAGUCGGCGGUGGGGUCACUUAUAGAGGGAUCCUCGCCUCAUUAGCGGGUUGUGACGGUAACGGAUUAUGAAGGGAACGAGGCGUAGCCGAACUGAGAGGGUGGUCGGCCGGCCUGGAAGUGAGACACGGCACAGACGCCUACGGGAGGGAGCAGUAGGGAAUCGUGCGCAAUGGGCGAAAGCUUGACGGAGCAACGCCGAGUGCGUGAUGAAGGUCUUCGGAUCGUAAAACUCUGUUAUCAGGGAGGAACACAUGUGUAAGUAACUCUGAACGUCUUGAAGGUAAAUAAUCAGAGAGCCACGGCUAAAUAAGUG
RNAcentral lists this ribosomal RNA (497 nucleotides) under uncultured bacterium. Its description in RNAcentral is "partial 16S ribosomal RNA". It matches the Rfam family "Bacterial small subunit ribosomal RNA", at positions 28 to 507 of the family's 1533-position model. The record is from RNAcentral.